This 74-nucleotide transfer RNA is filed under the name Deltaproteobacteria bacterium. Its description in RNAcentral is "tRNA-Met". It matches the Rfam family "tRNA". Rfam says of the family: Transfer RNA (tRNA) molecules are approximately 80 nucleotides in length. Their secondary structure includes four short double-helical elements and three loops (D, anti-codon, and T loops). Further hydrogen bonds mediate the characteristic L-shaped molecular structure. tRNAs have two regions of fundamental functional importance: the anti-codon, which is responsible for specific mRNA codon recognition, and the 3' end, to which the tRNAs corresponding amino acid is attached (by aminoacyl-tRNA synthetases). tRNAs cope with the degeneracy of the genetic code in two manners: having more than one tRNA (with a specific anti-codon) for a particular amino acid; and 'wobble' base-pairing, i.e. permitting non-standard base-pairing at the 3rd anti-codon position. The record is from RNAcentral. Lineage: Bacteria; Pseudomonadati; Myxococcota; Myxococcia. RNAcentral also lists the same sequence under 1 other name.
GGGCCUAUAGCUCAGUUGGUUAGAGCUUCCGGCUCAUAACCGGAUGGUCCUUGGUUCGAACCCAAGUGGGCCCA